RNAcentral lists this ribosomal RNA (420 nucleotides) under uncultured bacterium. RNAcentral describes it as "bacterial SSU rRNA". It matches the Rfam family "Bacterial small subunit ribosomal RNA", at positions 361 to 773 of the family's 1533-position model. The record is from RNAcentral.
AUCUUGCGCAAUGCGCGAAAGCGUGACGCAGCAACGCCGCGUGGGGGAAGAAGGCUUUCGGGUUGUAAACCCCUUUCAGGAGGGACGAAGGUCGGGCCGUUAAUAGCGGUUCCGACUGACGGUACCUCCAGAAGAAGCCCCAGCUAACUACGUGCCAGCAGCCGCGGUAAUACGUAGGGGGCAAGCGUUGUCCGGAAUCAUUGGGCGUAAAGAGCGUGUAGGCGGUCCGGUAAGUCCGUUGUGAAAGUCAAGGGCUCAACCCUUGAAUGCCGGCGGAUACUGCCGGGCUAGAGUCCGGAAGAGGCGAGUGGAAUUCCCGGUGUAGCGGUGAAAUGCGCAGAUAUCGGGAGGAACACCAACGGCGAAGGCAGCUCGCUGGGACGGUACUGACGCUGAGACGCGAAAGCGUGGGGAGCAAAC